GAUGAAGAACGCAGCGAAAUGCGAUACUUGGUGUGAAUUGCAGAAUCCCGUGAACCAUCGAGUCUUUGAACGCAAGUUGCGCCCGAAGCCAUUAGGCCGAGGGCACGCCUGCCUGGGUGUCACACACCGUUACCCUCGCGCCAACGUCCAUCGUUGGCCGCGGCGCGGGGCGUGCGCUGACCUCCCGCGAGCGGGGUCUCGUGGUUGGUUGAAAAUCGAGUUCGCGGUCGAGGGUGCCGUGAUGAAAUGGUGGAUGGGCGACGCCCGAGGCCAAUCACGCGCGACUCUGUCCGGCCCGGACGCCUGGACCCCUUCGGCGUCUCCGGACGCUCUUUGGCGAGACCUCAGGUCAGGCGGGGCUACCCGCUGAGUUUAAACAUAUCAAUAAGCGGAGGA
RNAcentral lists this unclassified non-coding RNA (396 nucleotides) under soil metagenome. Its description in RNAcentral is "partial contains 5.8S ribosomal RNA, internal transcribed spacer 2, and large subunit ribosomal RNA". The stretch from base 1 to 122 matches the Rfam family "5.8S ribosomal RNA", at positions 35 to 154 of the family's 154-position model. The record is from RNAcentral.